Manihot esculenta (cassava) is the source of this 3690-nucleotide long non-coding RNA. RefSeq lists it as uncharacterized. Lineage: Eukaryota; Viridiplantae; Streptophyta; Magnoliopsida; Malpighiales; Euphorbiaceae. The record is from RefSeq and is a predicted model, not a curated record. The transcript has 2 exons.
UGUAUGUAUUUUUAUAUAUUUGUAUUAUUGAUUUGUUGUUGAUUAAAUAAGGAAUAAAUUAUUGAUUUAUUUCUCUUAUACUACAAAUAAGAUUUUUCCCCUUUGAAUAUACGUGUUCAUUGAUGUAUUUGUAUGUAUAUUUAAAAGUAUAAAAAAAUUUUAGCUUCGAUGCCUUUUUCAAAAAGGUAACGCCUCGCCUCUCGCCUAAGGAGAUAGGUACCCUUUCGCCUUAGUAUAGCCUCUUGUUUUAGGUUCAUCAUUUUUGGUAUUAGUGCUCUGCCACAAAUAAAUUAAUUCUCAUUUAGCUAUUUUAUUUAUUUUUGUUGUUUAUUUCAAGUUCUUUCUUGUUUGCUUUAUUUAGCAAAAGAAAAAGAAAAAGAAAUAUAUUUAGUUUUGUUUUAAGAGGGAAAAAAUGUUCAGUAAAAGUAGUGGAGAUGGUUGUAGAAACUUCAAUGCAUCAUGUGAGAGAUGUAUAAUAGAGUUCAAUGAUGGUAUGAAGAUCAUGGAGAGAGCUUUCCGCUCAUGAGAAGGAGCAGCCUAAACAUGAUGAAGAUGAUGAUCCAAAUCAAAGUUCGGAAAAUUGCCAUGAUGAAGAAAUCAAAGGUGAUGAUCCUGUGCAUAGUUUGGAUACAAUCGAAAUUUAAGUUGCUUUUGAAAUUGUUGCAUAAGACAGUUUCGGUGUGAAAUUGGAUGAUGGGCAUCGGGUUUAGUCUUCAGGAGUUUGCCGAAGUAUCAAGAUUGAUGUGGGUGAUUUGGAAAUUAAGGCUGAUCGUUUCCGAUUUCCUCUAGGAGGACAGCCUGUCGUCUGCUCACAUUGAAGGAUGUGGAUGCCACUAAUUUCUCAACCCAUAGAAAGCUCUUCUCUAAGUGCCGAGAUUAAUAAGGAACAACAGUUUCAAGUACAAAAACUGCUCAGCUCCUUCGAUAAAGUGUUUGGAGAAGUUACUAGUCUACCUCUAAAUAGACCUACUGCAUAUGUAAUUCCAUUGGUGUUGGGUGUAAUAGCAGUAAAUGUUCAUCCGUAUCGCUACGGUCACUUUGAGAAGAAUGAAAUUGAAAAGUUAGUCGGGGAGAUGUUAACUGCAGGAAUUAAGACCCAAUACCAGUCCCUUCUCGAGUCCAGUUCUCUUGGUUAAGAAAAAAGAUGGAAGCUGGAGAUUUUACGUGAAUUACCGGGCAUCAAACAAGGCGACCAUUCCUCACAAAUAUCUUGUUCCAGUUAUAAGCGAAUUGUUGGAUGAAUUACAGGGGCAAGGUAUUUCUCCAAGCUGGACCUAAAAUCUGGGUACCAUCAAAUUCGGGUCAAGGAAUCUGAAAUUUCAAAGACAGCCUUUCGGACUCAUUCAGGACAUUAUGAGUGCAUUCAGAACUUAUAAGAGACUGGCAUCCAAUCUCUUUUGGCUAGGAAUGAUGAAGAUGGUGCAGAAAUUUGUAUCUGAAUGCCUUGUACGCCAGACGCAUAAAUAUGAAACACUUUUUCCAGCCGGUUUAUUACAAUUUCCAAUAUCAAUGAGAGUUUGGGAAGACAUAGUAAUGGACUUCAUCACUGGGCCCCCUACUUCACAGGGGGCUGAUGCAAUUUUAGUGGUAGUUGACAGAUAUUCAAAAUAUGCAUAUUUUAUUGCAUUGAAACAUCCUUAUUCGGCGAAAACAGUAGCCGAGGAAUUUAUGAAAGAAAUUGUCUGACUACAUGGUAUGCCACGAACAAUUGUAAGUGAUCAUGACCCUAUUUUCGUGAGCUAUUUUUGGAUUGAGCUUUUUCGUCUUUAAGGCAUCCAAUUAAGGAUGAGCACCGUUUAUCACCCUGAAACGGAUGGACAGACAGAAGUUUUGAAUCGUGGGUUGAAAACCUAUCUGAGGUGCUUUUCAUCUGAGCAACCGAAGCAGUGGCAUAAGUGGCUAUGUUGGGCAGAAUUUUGGUACAAUACAAGCCAUCAUACAGCUGCUGGGAUGACUCUAUUUGAAGCAAUUUAUUUUAGUGCACCACCAACGCUACACCCGAAGUAGUAGCGCAAGAGCUAAGCACCGGAGAUGAGUUAUUAAGGCAACUAUCUUACAAUCUCAAACAUGCUCAGCAGCGGAUGGUCAGAGCUGCAAAUAAAAUCGCAUAGAACUGGAAUUCCAAGAAGGUGAUUUGGUAUUUUUGAAAAUCAAACCUCAUCGACAAACAUCUAUGAAAGGAGUAAUUCAUACUAAAUUGGCAGCUCGUUACUUUGGACCAUUUAAAAUCAUCCAAAAAGUAAGAAAGGUGGCAUAUCGUUUGCAAUUACCCGAAGAAGCAAGAAUACACCCUGUUUUUCAUGUAUCACAAUUGAAGAAAGUGGUCGGUCUCACCCCAUCACCAAAGAACUACCCAAAGACUUGUUGGUUGAUGAGCUUCCAAUUGAGGAAGGGAUGCAAAAUGGAUUAGUUGUUGGUUAAAUGGAAAAAUAAGCCCAUUGAAGAAGCCACCCGAAUGAACUACUAUGAUUUUGUAAAUCAAUUUCCAGCCUCCAGCCUUCAGGACAAGGCUGUCUUUCAGAAGAGAAGCAUCGAUAGCAACAGCCCAUCUAGUGAUCCAGGAAGCGUGAACCAUGGGCUGAAACCCUUGAGAGUUUACUACAAAAGAAAUGUUAAAGGAAAGGGUAGCAUAAUUUCCAAAUGAAGAUUCCAGAGUUGCCAAGUUGGAAAUGGACAAAAUAGGUGGUUAUCAGGUUUGAGUGAUUCUCAGAUAGCACCUGAAGAGAAAGAAUCUUUAUUUGUUUUAUAAAUAAUUAGUAGUAGAAGAGGAGGAGGGUAAGUUGUGAUUUUCUCUUCUAGACAGCCAUUGCUGGGCUAGCUUGGCUAGAGUAUUUCUGUUUUCUUAUGCUGUGGAACCUUUUUGAGAAGGGAAAUUGCCAUUGAAAUCAAAAUUCAGUUUAUCUUUCCAUCUUGUUAUUGAUAAUUGCUCUUAACUCUAUCGUGAUGAUCCUGUGCAUAGUUUGGAUGCAAUCGAAAUUUAAGUUGCUUUUGAAAUUGUUGCACAAGACAACCAGUAUGGAGAUGAGUACAUGUAUAUUGAUAAUUUUUUUACUAUUAUGUUUGUAAAUUUGAAGAUGGAUCAUCUUGAGGAGGGAGGAAUAGAUCCGUGUAGAAGGGGAGUAAUAAUUUUCAACAACUAGAAGACUCCAAAUGAAUAUCAUGCUAGGAAAACAAGGAAGUGUGCAAAGAAGGAUAUUCGCAGCAUGAUUUCAACAAAACGCAUUAAAAUGCAAGAGAAAUCAAGGAAAACAAGUUACUUGGCUUUCCAUUGGUUUGCCUUGUGCUUUGGACGAUUGUCCCAUGUAAUAAUAUGGUUUAAGAAGCUCGGAUGUCAAGAAUAACAAACAACAUUGUCUGAAGGCUCAAAACAUGACCCAAGAUGCAUGACCUCGCGUUCUAUAAUGUGGCGAAUUUGGAGUUUGAAUUAAUUUGGCUUCAAUAUUAUUUACUAUUUUUAGGCCUAUUAUAUUAGUAGUGUAUGGUUAUUUUGCUUAUUUUGGUUAGAUUAGACUUAAUUUUCCUAGUUUAAGUAAGGAAAUAUUGUUUUUUUUUUUUUUUAAUUUUUAUUUCUACUAGGAUCAGGCUUUCAAAACACUACAAAUAGGUGGAUGACCCUAAUAUUAUGUUUAUGACAAUGGAGACUUUUGUUCUUCUAUUUUUAAUACAAAGAUGAGUUUUGUUUGUGUUGCA